CACAGCACUGUGCUAAACGCUUGGAAAGCACAGUCCAGCAACAGAGACAGUCCCUGCCCACUCCACCCUGCACCUCUCUGGGAGAGGUACCAGGCAUCACUCAAUAGUUGCCUGCAUGAAACUUUUCAGUAACCAUGCGACAGAAGCAAGUCUGCCCUUGGAUGUCAUCCUAAAAAUAGAGGAGGGCCCAACUUCAACGGGAAUGGCAAGUAUCUCUUUCCUGUGUUGUGCAAAACCAGGUUGUUGUAACCGGUUUGAUGACAGUUUUCAAGGAUCCAGGCCACCUCCUCAUGCUGCAGUCAAGCAGUAAGAGUGGGAUUCUGUGGCCAUUUCAUUGAAGAUUCAACCUUUCUCCUGUCAGGAGCACUCAAACUUGAACUGAACCAAUCCACAACAGACAAAGGAGAACACUUUUCAAGGUGAAACCAAAAAGCUUGACUUCAAGAAGGUUUUACACACUUUCUUCUUAGGAAUACGAUAAAGAUGAUAAAUAUAUCAGCUGUUUU
This is a long non-coding RNA of Ornithorhynchus anatinus (platypus), 506 nucleotides long. RefSeq lists it as uncharacterized. The transcript is spliced from 3 exons. NCBI's taxonomy places the organism in Eukaryota, Metazoa, Chordata, Mammalia, Monotremata, Ornithorhynchidae. The record is from RefSeq and is a predicted model, not a curated record.